RNAcentral lists this ribosomal RNA (422 nucleotides) under uncultured archaeon. RNAcentral's name for it is "bacterial SSU rRNA". It matches the Rfam family "Archaeal small subunit ribosomal RNA", at positions 458 to 880 of the family's 1478-position model. The record is from RNAcentral.
UCAGCCGCCGCGGUAAAACCAGCACCUCGAGUGGUCAGGAGGUUUAUUGGGCCUAAAGCAUCCGUGGCCGGUUGCAUAAGUUUUCGGUUAAAUCUAUGCGCUUAACGUAUAGGCCGCCGAAAAUACUGUGCAGCUAGGGAGUGGGAGAGGUACACGGUACUCGAUAGGAAGGGGUAAAAUCCUUUGAUCUAUUGAUGACCACCUGUGGCGAAGGCGGUGUACCAGAACACGUUCGACGGUGAGGGAUGAAAGCUGGGGGAGCAAACCGGAUUAGAUACCCGGGUAGUCCCAGCUGUAAACGAUGCAGACUCGGUGAUGCAUUGGCUUGUGGCCAAUGCAGUGCCGCAGGGAAGCCGUUAAGUCUGCCGCCUGGGAAGUACGUACGCAAGUAUGAAACUUAAAGGAAUUGGCGGGGGAGCACA